GACGAACGCUGGCGGCGUGCUUAACACAUGCAAGUCGAACGAAGUGGCGAACGGGUGAGUAACGCGUAAUCAACCUGCCCUUCAGAGGGGGACAACAGUUGGAAACGACUGCUAAUACCGCAUACUGAAGGAGGGGAUUGCGUCUGAUUAGCUAGUUGGAGGGGGAACGGCCCACCAAGGCGAUGAGCAGUAGCCGGCCUGAGAGGGGGACCGGCCACAUUGGGACUGAGAUACGGACCAAACUCCUACGGGGGGCAGCAGUGGGGAAUAUUGCACAAUGGGGGAACCCGUGAUGCAGCAACGCCGCGUGCGGGAUGACGGCCUUCGGGUUGUAAACCGCUUUCAGCCAUGACGCGGUAGUGGCAGAAGAAGCACCGGCUAACUACGUGCCAGCCGCCGCGGUAAUUC
Molecule: ribosomal RNA, 408 nt
Filed under: uncultured bacterium
Lineage: Bacteria
Description: partial 16S ribosomal RNA
Rfam family: Bacterial small subunit ribosomal RNA
Source: RNAcentral